AUCAUACGUACCUGAGACCAAGAUUAUGUUGUGUGCUAUGCUUUCUGGAGUUGUUAUACUCCCUCUGAUAUUGUUCCUUGAAUGCCAUUAUGAGUACAAGUCAAUGGCAAGUUCUGGAAAAAGACUCUGACAUGAUGAACAAUUCUUCAAUACCCCCAGCCCAAUUAGGCCUUAGCCCCUCAUCUAGCAUUCGUCACACACGCCCCCUCAAGAACCUUUCUCCACCACCUUUCUAUCAGCAUGUAAUAUGCAAUCAUUCAUUCACUGAACGCAUUUGGAUGAAUUGGACAAAUAGUAACCCUUAUAAGUACCAGUUACCCAUAUGAAAUGUGUCUACAGCUAAUGAAACCGAUGCAUUAUGUUUGUUUAAAGGUUCACAGAAAAUUGUUAGAUCUUAUAACGCAGAAAUGUGCACAGUUAAGGUUGCAUAUCAAUGUAAAUAGACAGGCCUUAUUACUUUUAAUAAUGAUUAUACAACUGGUAUCAUUAAUUGGAAAAGGGGACAAAUGUUAGUCAUUAUGAACGACACUACCUUAUAUUUUUACACCUUAUUACUGUCCUUUAUCCUCUACCAUAGAACCAAAAGUCAACAACGACACACACACACCUAUUCCGUCCACAUGUAUUAAUACAACUGCCUUCUUACAAGCUGUACAUGUGUCAUUAAAAGUCACUACUCUUGUUGUAACAUUAUGUAAUACAACAAACAAAGGCAGAAAAGGGAAUGGUAUGACACACUGUUAGAUGGUGCUGGAACCACUAUGGGUAUACUAAAUAGUUAUAGAUAUGGAGACCCUCAAGAAUAAGUUAAACACAGCCAGCAUGCAUAUAGGGACUGGUUUUCAUGCUACUGCAAAUUGGGCUCCAAUUGUUGUUAAAUCACAGGUUAUAGGAUUGGAUUUAGAUAAAUCAAUGUAUAAUUAUUUAGAUAAUUUAACUGUUGCAACUAUGAAAUUCACUACAGGUUUAAGUAACUGGAGUAUUUGUGCCAUCAGGUAUUUAUGGAUACAACAAGGAUUGGCAUUAGAAAACACACUAAUGAUUCCUAAACUAGAGAAGAUUAGAGGAAUGUGUAACCUCACAGAUAAUGAUUGGUUACUUCUAAAACCCCAAUCCAGUAAAUGCAAUGGAUGGUUAACUGGUAAUGUUUCACAUUUUUCAUGCUCAUGCUAUUUAACAUUAUAUCAUACAUUAUCAAAGGAUGUUAAAUUAGCUUGUCAAUUUAACACAUUACCAGUACCAGUUUAUGAUCUUUUUGCCAAGAAUUUAACCUGGUGGGCACCCACAUACACAGGGGACUAUAUUUUUCCCAAAGAUAACAUACACAGGUAGCCACACAUAUCCUAAAAGGAGAACUCCUUAAGGUGAGUUCACAAAUUCAGAAUGAUUUAGCCCAUCAUUGGUACGAUGCUUCACUGGUUGGUCCCCUACUGGAUCUCAGAUAAUGAAAUCAUUCUUCUAUCAUUUUGUUAUUAUAGUCCUGAUUUUAUUGUGUAUGAUUUUAUAUAACUGUCACCUUAGUUGUACAUUGAGGAAGUGAGUACAGAAAUUAAUCCAUAAUGCAGAACAGAAACAAUUAGAAAUUCUCCUCUCUGCCACUGUAGAGUAUCAACCCAUUUUUAAACUGGGCCUUAGGAAUUACCACAUGGGAAUCGAGGUGAAGAAAUUAAUGAAAGUCCCGCAGGGAGUGACUAGCACCCCUGAAAAUACCAUGUGGAAGUUUCUCUGUCCUGGUAAGAUUUUAUCGAUAAGAUGAGCAAUUGUUUUAUUGCUCAAAGAGGGGAAUGUAAGAAUAUUAAAUAGUUAACUUGUUUAUAUGUAUUUUAUGC
Molecule: long non-coding RNA, 1829 nt
Filed under: Pelobates cultripes (western spadefoot toad)
Lineage: Eukaryota; Metazoa; Chordata; Amphibia; Anura; Pelobatidae
Source: RNAcentral